Molecule: long non-coding RNA, 306 nt
Filed under: Setaria italica (foxtail millet)
Lineage: Eukaryota; Viridiplantae; Streptophyta; Magnoliopsida; Poales; Poaceae
Description: long non-coding RNA (SITA_LNC005882)
Source: RNAcentral
GUGGCCGCAGCCUCCGAGUACUCAUUUUGUUAAUGUUUGGGUGUACUGAUUUGUCUAUUUGUGUAGGAAGAUGUACAUUUGUAAUGCUUUGCUCCUCCUCCUCCUGGAUCAGAAGAUAUUUGCGAACUUGCUCCUCGCGUUCAUACGGCAGAGAUCGUGGAAAGUGAUGACGAGGAGGAGGAAGAAGUAGUCGAGACCUGCAGCAGCUUUAGUUUUUAUGCUGCGGAGGAAUUUGAAAUCAAGGACUGUACAUCUGAUAAUGCUGGGUCAUCCUCUGGAUCAUUGAAGUGUGCAACUAAAGAUGAU